RNAcentral lists this ribosomal RNA (490 nucleotides) under uncultured bacterium. Its description in RNAcentral is "partial 16S ribosomal RNA". It matches the Rfam family "Bacterial small subunit ribosomal RNA", at positions 28 to 507 of the family's 1533-position model. The record is from RNAcentral.
GAUGAACGCUAGCGAUAGGCUUAACACAUGCAAGUCGAGGGGCAGCAUGGUCUUAGCUUGCUAAGACUGAUGGCGACCGGCGCACGGGUGCGUAACGCGUAUGCAACUUGCCUCACAGAGGGGGAUAACCCGUCGAAAGACGGACUAAUACCGCGUACACUUGGGAUAGGGCAUCCUGACCCAAGGAACUGAACUUCGCUGUGAGAUAGGCAUGCGUCCCAUUAGCUAGUUGGUGAGGUAACGGCUCACCAAGGCGACGAUGGGUAGGGGAACUGAGAGGUUGAACCCCCACACUGGUACUGAGACACGGACCAGACUCCUGCGGGAGGCAGCAGUGAGGAAUAUUGGUCAAUGGGCGAGAGCCUGAACCAGCCAAGUCGCGUGAAGGAUGACUGUCUUAUGGAUUGUAAACUUCUUUUAGACGGGAAUAACAAGAGUCACGUGUGGCUCCCUGCAUGUACCGUAUGAAUAAGCUUCGGCUAACUCCGUG